This 333-nucleotide ribosomal RNA is filed under the name Triticum aestivum (bread wheat). RNAcentral's name for it is "partial small subunit ribosomal RNA". The record is from RNAcentral. Lineage: Eukaryota; Viridiplantae; Streptophyta; Magnoliopsida; Poales; Poaceae.
AUGGAGACGUAUCACACCUUCUAUCACGGAUCCAAAGGCAAGAUAUUUGUUAAUAAGAAUGGAUCCUUUCUAGAGGAGUUUCUCUCGAAAGAAGUGAGUGGGAGGAAAGUAGAACUUGAUGAGGUAAUUGUACCUGCUCCCGAAUUGGAAAUUAGUACAUCACAAAAUUUAGUUCCAGUGAUUCCUACACCAGUUAGUGAGGAAUCUAAUGAUGAUGAUCAUGAAACUUCAAAUAAAGUUACUACUAAACCUCAUAGGUCAAACAGAGUAAGAUUCGCACCAGAGUGGUACGGUAAUCCUGUUCUGGAAGUCAUGUUACUUGACCAUGACUAA